UGUGCCAGCAGCCGCGGUAAUACAGAGGGUGCAAACGUUGCUCGGAAUUAUUGGGCGUAAAGCGCGUGUAGGCGGCUUGUUAAGUCGGUUGUGAAAACCCAUGGCUCAACCAUGGAAGGGCGUCCGAAACUGGCAAGCUAGAGUCCCGACGAGGAUGGCGGAAUUCCCAGUGUAGAGGUGAAAUUCGUAGAUAUUGGGAGGAACACCGGUGGCGAAGGCGGCCAUCUGGGAGGGCACUGACGCUGAGACGCGAAAGCGUGGGGAGCAAACAGGAUUAGAUACCCUGGUAGUCCACGCCGUAAACGAUGAGCACUAGAUGUUGCGGGUAUUGACCCCUGCAGUGUCGACGCUAACGCAUUAAGUGCUCCGCCUGGGGAGUACGGCCGCAAGGCUAAAACUCAAAGGAAUUGACGGG
This 415-nucleotide ribosomal RNA is filed under the name uncultured delta proteobacterium. RNAcentral describes it as "bacterial SSU rRNA". It matches the Rfam family "Bacterial small subunit ribosomal RNA", at positions 504 to 917 of the family's 1533-position model. Lineage: Bacteria; Deltaproteobacteria. The record is from RNAcentral.